RNAcentral lists this ribosomal RNA (700 nucleotides) under uncultured bacterium. RNAcentral describes it as "bacterial SSU rRNA". It matches the Rfam family "Bacterial small subunit ribosomal RNA", at positions 94 to 824 of the family's 1533-position model. The record is from RNAcentral.
AGUGGCGGACGGGUGAGUAACACGUAAGAAUUUACCUUUAGGAGGGGGAUAACAACUGGAAACGGUUGCUAAUACCCCAUAUGCUUUCGAGUGAAAUGGUUUUUCCGCCUAAAGAGAAGCUUGCGGCUGAUUAGCUUGUUGGUGAGGUAAUGGCUCACCAAGGCGACGAUCAGUAUCUGGUUUGAGAGGACGAUCAGACACACUGGAACUGAGACACGGUCCAGACUCCUACGGGAGGCAGCAGUGGGGAAUUUUCCGCAAUGGGCGAAAGCCUGACGGAGCAAUACCGCGUGAGGGAUGAAGGCCUAUGGGUUGUAAACCUCUUUUUUCAGGGAGGAAUAAAAUGACGUGUACCUGAAGAAUAAGCAUCGGCUAACUCCGUGCCAGCAGCCGCGGUAAGACGGGGGAUGCAAGUGUUAUCCGGAAUCACUGGGCGUAAAGCGUCUGUAGGUGGUUUAAUAAGUCAACUGUUAAAUCUUGAGGCUCAACCUCAAAAUCGCAGUCGAAACUGUUUGACUAGAGUAUAGUAGGGGUAAAGGGAAUUUCCAGUGGAGCGGUGAAAUGCGUAGAGAUUGGAAAGAACACCAAUGGCGAAGGCACUUUACUGGGCUAUUACUAACACUGAGAGACGAAAGCUAGGGUAGCAAAUGGGAUUAGAUACCCCAGUAGUCCUAGCUGUAAACAAUGGAUACUAGAUGUU